This is a non-coding RNA of Penaeus vannamei (Pacific white shrimp), 620 nucleotides long. NCBI's taxonomy places the organism in Eukaryota, Metazoa, Arthropoda, Malacostraca, Decapoda, Penaeidae. The record is from RefSeq and is a predicted model, not a curated record.
CUUUGUGUUCGUGACGGCCAGGGGGUACAUCGGUGACGUCAUCAAGUGCGUCACGGGCACGGAGAGGACGGAACAUAAGGCGAUUGAGACGUAUUGUUUCAUGACGUCACGUUUUACUGUUGUUGAUUUGGGGCCUGAGCGCAGGCAUCAGCCCAGCCUGGCGCAGGACCCUCCACCACACAGGACUCGCCGGAGGACCGCCAGCGCCGCGCCUGCUGCCAGUGGGUCCCCCUCGCGUUGGUGCUGCGAAUCGUCAUCUAUUAUCUCCCUGCGUACCUGUGGCACCUGGUCGGCUUCGGGUUCUCUGAUUAGCGGUCGAUCUUGAUCAAGUGUUCCCCGAGAGAGUUGCAAAGAGGGUCAAGCUGGCGACGGAAUACUUCGUGUUCCCUGGGCACGCACGGCCUCUGCGCCUUGCCCGUCCUCCUGUGCGAGGGCCUGGCAGUCUUCCUCGCCCUCGGGAACCUCCCCUUUGCGAACAAAUUCCUCGGGGGAAAGUUCUUCAGAUACGGGCUCUCGGCGGCCAAGUUCCUGCUGGACAGAGCGGCGGAAGGGACGGGCCCGCUGGAUGAGGUGUUUCCCAAGGGGAGGGAGAGGAGAGAGGGGGAGAAAGGGAGGGAAGG